Molecule: non-coding RNA, 1608 nt
Organism: Chiloscyllium plagiosum (whitespotted bambooshark)
Lineage: Eukaryota; Metazoa; Chordata; Chondrichthyes; Orectolobiformes; Hemiscylliidae
Source: the annotation of a RefSeq genome assembly
UUGUUCCAAGCUCUCCAAGCACACAAUCUUGAAGUUGUGACUCCAAGAUACCGACAUACUAACCAGUGUAAGUCAACUAUCCUUCUUUCGCUUGUAAAAAUUGUCCACAAUUUUGAAUGCCUCAAUAGAAUACCCUCUUAAUCUUGACUUUGAAUGAAGGCUUAAUCCCCUCUUAAUCUUGAUAUUGCUUCAAUUGUUUGCAUGUCCUACAACUGCUUCGAUUUCUUAUGCUAUUACUGUAAUCACCUAGUUCACCAAACACAAUAAAGAUGGUCAGAGAAAUAUAUCACCCCGACGAUGUGGUCCAUUCUACUUUAUCAGAGUGAGGGUUCAAGUCUUAGCUGCCCCAGAAGUGUUUCAAAAUAUGUCAGAACAGCCCGUUUAAAAUUAAGCUACAUCAGACACUGCUGAGCUCAUCUACUUGAAUGUUUUGAAGCCUUGCAGCCCCAUAAAUUAUAUCUACAGUGUAUAUGAUGAGAAGAGCUAUGCAAUGUGGGUGGUGUGGACUUGAGCUGGCAAUUCGGGAUGUGGGGGCGGAGUUUUAUGACGAUCACUGUUCAUUUCUCAAAAGGUUAAGUUGGUUAUGUUCACAUUGCCCGGAUCAGGCCUCCAGGCUAAAGUCUUACUGGCAUUCACAGCCCCCUUAGUACAUGAUGCGGACAUUGCUUCUAUCCUGCCUGUUCCUGUUCAUCUAUUUGGCAGGAUUCUGCGAGUCUCAGAAGAUUGUGCAGUCUCAGCAGCAUGUGUCGGUGAAAUUGGAAGGAUCUGCAACUAUUCCUUGCACCCAAAGCGGCAGUGAUGCUUACAUGUACUGGUAUCGUCAGCUCCCGGGCCAGGGAUUGCAAAAUCUAUUGUACGCAGUGCAUGGAGAGGACCCGAAGAGGUCGGACGGAAUCACAGACAGAUUUUUCGCCAAGAAGACAACAGACGGCUCUUUCGACCUAAAUAUAGGGAACGUGCAACCAGGCGACACGGCUCAGUAUUUCUGUGCCUGCAGUGAUGCACAGAGGUAAAGUGGGGCUGAACCGUGUGACAAAAACACACCUAAGACACUACCAUUUGAUGAAAUGUAAUAAUAUGUAGGAUAGAUUCAGAGUCCAGAGGUCUGUGAAUCAAUCUGUCUCUGCAAUCAAAGAUGAAAUUGUCAAUCUCCUAUUUAUCUAUUAUACAUGUAUCGCCCAUCUCUCAUCUAUUAUAGAUUUAUCUUUCUAUUUAUCCUACUAUAAUCUGUUUAUCUUCCUGUCUAUCUAUCUCUCUUAUCUAUCUUGCUGACUAUCUGCCUCCAUACUUUCUUCUUACCUUCUUCUAUCCAUAUGUCUAACAUUGGACUUACAAUUUGCACUAAAUUAAAAUAGAUGUAUUUGUAUCAAUAUACAUAAUAUUGUUCCUUUGAGAUACAACUUAAAUUAAACAAGGAGGUUAUGUUAUUGGGAUAACUGUGUUAACAAGUCAUAGUAGAAAUGAUAAUGCACAGAAUUUAACAGAAUCUUCUCUUCUUAUGAUGUCAGUCUUAGCUAGCAUCGAGCGAGGUUUAGUUAGACUGCCUGCUUCCACCACACUUAAAAGGUAACGUUGUGUAGAAGAUUAAAAACUCACUAUAUAAAGGAA